RNAcentral lists this ribosomal RNA (453 nucleotides) under Cratospila sp. UKM SY21. Its description in RNAcentral is "eukaryotic LSU rRNA". The record is from RNAcentral. Lineage: Eukaryota; Metazoa; Arthropoda; Insecta; Hymenoptera; Braconidae.
AAACCGUUCAGGGGUAAACCUGAGAAACCCAAAAGAUCGAAUGGGGAGAUUCAUCGUCAGCUCAUUUUGUAUAUAUGCAAGUUAUGAUAUGGGUUACUACUUGUAGUAUUGCCUGUACAUUCUUGUAUAUUUAAUUGCAGGAUGUUGUCGGCGUGCACUUCUCCCCUAGUAGGACGUCGCGACCCGUUGAGUGUCGGUCUACGGCCCAAAUGGUAGCCUUUAAUUUUUUAUUAAAUUAAAGACCUUUGGUGUUUCCUGGCUGGCUACUCGGCGGUAUUCGUACGGUAUUAAGCCGCAUUUAUGCGUUCAUAUCUAUCGCAAGCGCGGUCCAUUUUUGGUAGUACGGACCUAGUGCCGUCGCUAUAAUGGAUCAGCUGUUGGUUGUAUAGUAUUCUAAACUGGCUUUAAUAUAUAUACCGGUCAGCGAUGCUUCAGCUUUGGGUACUUUCAGGA